Molecule: ribosomal RNA, 253 nt
Filed under: uncultured bacterium
Lineage: Bacteria
Description: partial 16S ribosomal RNA
Rfam family: Bacterial small subunit ribosomal RNA
Source: RNAcentral
UACGUAGGGUGCGAGCGUUGUCCGGAAUUACUGGGCGUAAAGAGCUUGUAGGCGGUUUGUCGCGUCUGCUGUGAAAUUCCAGGGCUUAACCCUGGGCUUGCAGUGGGUACGGGCAGACUAGAGUGUGGUAGGGGAGACUGGAAUUCCUGGUGUAGCGGUGAAAUGCGCAGAUAUCAGGAGGAACACCGAUGGCGAAGGCAGGUCUCUGGGCCACUACUGACGCUGAGAAGCGAAAGCAUGGGGAGCGAACAGG